Molecule: ribosomal RNA, 509 nt
Filed under: uncultured bacterium
Lineage: Bacteria
Description: partial 16S ribosomal RNA
Rfam family: Bacterial small subunit ribosomal RNA
Source: RNAcentral
GACGAACGCUGGCGGCGUGCUUAACACAUGCAAGUGGAGCGACGAACCGGGCUUCGGCCCGGGGCAAAGCCGCGAACGGGUGAGUAACACGUGGGUAACCUGCCCCGAUGAUUGGGACAACCUCGGGAAACCGAGGCUAAUACCAAAUGUGCCCACACUCCUCGAGGAGGGUGAGGAAAGGAAGCUUCGGCCUCCGCAUCGGGACGGUCCCGCGGUGCAUUAGCUCGUUGGUGGGGUAAUGGCCUACCAAGGCUUCGAUGCGUAGCUGGUCUGAGAGGACGAUCAGCCACACUGGGACUGAGACACGGCCCAGACUCCUACGGGAGGCAGCAGUGGGGAAUCUUGCGCAAUGCGCGAAAGCGUGACGCAGCAACGCCGCGUGCGGGAAGACGGCCUUCGGGUUGUAAACCGCUUUCAGUUGGGACGAAGCUUCGCCGGUGAAUAGCCGGCCGGAGUGACGGUACCUUCAGAAGAAGCCCCGGCUAACUACGUGCCAGCCGCCGCGGUAA